RNAcentral lists this ribosomal RNA (253 nucleotides) under uncultured bacterium. RNAcentral describes it as "partial 16S ribosomal RNA". It matches the Rfam family "Bacterial small subunit ribosomal RNA", at positions 524 to 776 of the family's 1533-position model. The record is from RNAcentral.
GACAGAGGGUGCAAACGUUGUUCGGAAUUACUGGGCGUAAAGCGCGUGUAGGCGGCUCGGAAAGUCGGGUGUGAAAGCCCUGGGCUCAACCCAGGAAGUGCAUUCGAAACUUCCGAGCUGGAGUCCCGGAGAGGAUGGCGGAAUUCUCGGUGUAGAGGUGAAAUUCGUAGAUAUCGAGAGGAACACCGGUGGCGAAGGCGGCCAUCUGGACGGUGACUGACGCUGAGACGCGAAAGCGUGGGGAGCAAACAGG